GCGGACGGGUGAGUAACGCGUGAACAAUCUGCCCUGUACAAAGGAAUAGCCUCGGGAAACCGGGAUUAAAACCGUAUGACACUUUAAUACCGCAUGGUAUAGAGGUCAAAUAUUAAUAGGUAUGGGAUGAGUUCGCGUCUGAUUAGCUGGUUGGUAAGGUAACGGCUUACCAAGGCGACGAUCAGUAGCCGGCCUGAGAGGGUGAACGGCCACACUGGAACUGAGACACGGUCCAGACUCCUACGGGAGGCAGCAGUGGGGAAUAUUGCACAAUGGAGGGAACUCUGAUGCAGCGACGCCGCGUGAGUGAAGAAGGUCUUCGGAUCGUAAAACUCUGUCCUUGGUGAAGAAAAGGACGGUAGCCAAGGAGGAAGCCCCGGCUAACUACGUGCCAGCAGCCGCGGUAAUACGUAGGGGGCGAGCGUUGUCCGGAUUUACUGGGCGUAAAGGGUGAGUAGGCGGUUAUAUAUGUCAGGUGUAAAAGGCUAUGGCUUAACCAUGGUUAGCACUUGAAACUGUAUGACUUGAGUGCAGGAGAGGUAAGCGGAAUUCCUAGUGUAGCGGUGAAAUGCGUAGAUAUUAGGAGGAACACCAGUGGCGAGGGCGGCUUACUGGACUGUAACUGACGCUGAGUCACGAAAGCGUGGGUAGCAAACAGGAUUAGAUACCCUGGUAGUCCACGCUGUAAACGAUGAGUGCUAGGUGUUGGGUAGCGAUACUCAGUGCCGGAGUCAACACAAUAAGCACUCCGCCUGGGGAGUACGUACGCAAGUAUGAAACUCAAAGGAAUUGACGGGGACCCGCACAAGCAGCGGAGCAUGUGGUUUAAUUCGAAGCAACACGAAGAACCUUACCAAGGCUUGACAUCCCCUUGACAGGUACAGAGAUGUACAAUCAUUUUCGAAUGCAAGGGAGACAGGUGGUGCAUGGUUGUCGUCAGCUCGUGUCGUGAGAUGUUGGGUUAAGUCCCGCAACGAGCGCAACCCUUAUCCUUAGUUGCCAUCAAGUAAAGUUGGGCACUCUAAGGAGACUGCCGGUGAUAAACCGGAGGAAGGUGGGGAUGACGUCAAAUCAUCAUGCCCCUUAUGUCUUGGGCUACACACGUGCUACAAUGGUCGGUACAACGGGAAGCGAAGAAGUGAUUUGGAGCAAAUCCCAAUAAACCGAUCCCAGUUCGGAUUGCAGGCUGCAACUCGCCUGCAUGAAGUCGGAGUUGCUAGUAAUCGCGAAUCAGAACGUCGCGGUGAAUGCGUUCCCGGGUC
Molecule: ribosomal RNA, 1262 nt
Filed under: uncultured bacterium
Lineage: Bacteria
Description: bacterial SSU rRNA
Rfam family: Bacterial small subunit ribosomal RNA
Source: RNAcentral